RNAcentral lists this transfer RNA (74 nucleotides) under Flavobacterium sp. Its description in RNAcentral is "tRNA-Arg". It matches the Rfam family "tRNA". From Rfam's summary of the family: Transfer RNA (tRNA) molecules are approximately 80 nucleotides in length. The record is from RNAcentral. Lineage: Bacteria; Pseudomonadati; Bacteroidota; Flavobacteriia; Flavobacteriales; Flavobacteriaceae. RNAcentral also lists the same sequence under 7 other names.
GGCUGCGUAGUUCAAUUGGAUAGAAUAUCAGAUUUCGGCUCUGAGGGUUGGGGGUUCGAAUCCCUCCGCGGUCA